This 403-nucleotide ribosomal RNA is filed under the name uncultured bacterium. RNAcentral describes it as "partial 16S ribosomal RNA". It matches the Rfam family "Bacterial small subunit ribosomal RNA", at positions 30 to 526 of the family's 1533-position model. The record is from RNAcentral.
AUUGAACGCUGGCGGCAGGCCUAACACAUGCAAGUCGAGCGAGCGGCGGACGGGUGAGUAAUGUAUGGGGACUGCCCGAUAGAGGGGGAUAACUACUGGAAACGGUAGCUAAUACCGCAUACCAUCGGAUUGCCCAGAUGGGAUUAGCUAGUAGGUGGGGUAAUGGCUUACCUAGGCGACGAUCCCUAGCUGGUCUGAGAGGAUGAUCAGCCAAACUGGGACUGAGACACGGCCCAGACUCCUACGGAGGCAGCAGUGGGGAAUAUUGCACAAUGGGCGCAAGCCUGAUGCAGCCAUGCCGCGUGUGUGAAGAAGGCCCUCGGGUUGUAAAGUACUUUCAGUGGGGAGGCGUUACCCACAGAAGAAGCACCGGCUAACUCCGUGCCAGCAGCCGCGGUAAUUC